UCUCACUGUCCUCUGCACUAG
Molecule: microRNA, 21 nt
Filed under: Mus musculus (house mouse)
Lineage: Eukaryota; Metazoa; Chordata; Mammalia; Rodentia; Muridae
Description: mmu-miR-7015-3p
Source: miRBase by way of RNAcentral